GAUGAACGCUGGCGGCGUGCCUAAUACAUGCAAGUCGAGCGAACAGACGAGGAGCUUGCUCCUCUGACGUUAGCGGCGGACGGGUGAGUAACACGUGGAUAACCUACCUAUAAGACUGGGAUAACUUCGGGAAACCGGAGCUAAUACCGGAUAACAUGUUGAACCGCAUGGUUCAACAGUGAAAGACGGUCUUGCUGUCACUUAUAGAUGGAUCCGCGCCGCAUUAGCUAGUUGGUAAGGUAACGGCUUACCAAGGCAACGAUGCGUAGCCGACCUGAGAGGGUGAGCGGCCACACUGGAACUGAGACACGGUCCAGACUCCUACGGGAGGCAGCAGUAGGGAAUCUUCCGCAAUGGGCGAAAUCCUGACGGAGCAACGCCGCGUGAGUGAAGAAGGUCUUCGGAUCGUAAAACUCUGUUAUUAGGGAAGAACAAAUGUGUAAGUAACUAUGCACGUCUUGACGGUACCUAAUCAGAAAGCCACGGCUAACUACGUG
Molecule: ribosomal RNA, 497 nt
Filed under: uncultured bacterium
Lineage: Bacteria
Description: partial 16S ribosomal RNA
Rfam family: Bacterial small subunit ribosomal RNA
Source: RNAcentral